Molecule: ribosomal RNA, 667 nt
Filed under: uncultured marine eukaryote
Lineage: Eukaryota
Description: SSU rRNA
Rfam family: Eukaryotic small subunit ribosomal RNA
Source: RNAcentral
UGUGGUUAAAAAGCUCGUAGUUGGAUCUCGGCGGACUGAGGGCGGUUUGCUUGCUAGUAUUACUGCCCUAUAGUCCGUAGUUUUGCCAGAGGUUUCGGGGUGCUCUUAAUCGAGUGUCCCGGGAUGCUGGCAGGUUUACUUUGAAAAAAUUAGAGUGCUCAAAGCAGGCUACUACGCCUGAAUAUUCGUGCAUGGAAUAAUAGAAUAGGAAGUCGUUUCUAUUUUGUUGGUUUUCGGAAAUCGACUUAAUGAUUAAUAGGGACAGUCGGGGGCAUUUGUAUUCAAACGACAGAGGUGAAAUUCUUGGACCGUUUGAAGACAAACUACUGCGAAAGCAUUUGCCAAGAAUGUUUUCAUUAAUCAAGAACGAAAGUUAAAGGUUCGAAGGCGAUUAGAUACCGCCCUAGUUUUAACCAUAAACGAUGCCAGCUAGCGAUCUGCGGACGUUUUUUUUGUAGACUCCGCAGGAAGCUUCCGGGAAACCAAAGCAUUUGGGUUCCAGGGGAAGUAUGGUUGCAAAGCUGAAACUUAAAGGAAUUGACGGAAGGGCACCACCAGGAGUGGAGCCUGUGGCUUAAUUUGACUCAACACGGGAAAUCUCACCAGGCCCGGACACUGGAAGGAUUGACCGAUUGAUAGCUUCUUUCUGAAUCGGGUGGGUGGUGGU